AUUGUUAUUUCUAAAAGUGAAGGUGGAAUGGGUUUUCGAGACCUAUAUUCUUUUAAUUUGGCAAUGCUUUCUAAACAAUGUUGGAGACUCCUUACUAACCCAGAAUCAUUGUGUGCAAGAGUGCUAAAGGCAAAAUAUUACCCUAAUGGAAGCUUACAGCUGCAAGCCAUUCUGAAAAAUGGUGCUUCUUCCACUUGGCAAAGUAUCAUGAAGGGUUUGGAAACUUUUAAGCUAGGGUAUAUAUGGCUUAUUGGUAGGGGGGAAAUGUAA
This 270-nucleotide ribosomal RNA is filed under the name Triticum aestivum (bread wheat). RNAcentral describes it as "partial small subunit ribosomal RNA". Lineage: Eukaryota; Viridiplantae; Streptophyta; Magnoliopsida; Poales; Poaceae. The record is from RNAcentral.